AUUUAAUUUCUAGCCAAAUUGCAUUUAAGCUUCUUUGUUCAAGAACUUGCCUUUCUGAGUUAGAAGCAAUGACAUUUGAACACUUGAUUGCAUGUUGCUGUAAUACUUACAUUUAGUUUUUAUUGGAAAAAUACCAUUCUGAUUAGAAAACUACAGCCACUGUGUUAUCUUUAUUUACAUCUUCAUCCAAAAAGUUACAAGUUAAUGGAAUAUAAAGAACCCACAAUGCAGUUCCUAAGUAGCCCUAUUAUCAAUAAACAGCUAAGAAAGUACCUUGUACUUAGGAACAUCAAGCACAUCAGGAGGAAGACGGAAGUUGAAUUAUGAUGGCAUUGCAUGGUUCACAAUAUAUUCUCAACCAGAAUUCUUAUUACUUUUUUUGAAGUUCCCUGGUAAGGUUUCAGUAUUAAGAAGCUCUCUUUUAUUCUUUCCAUGAUUGUUUAUGUUGGACCUCACAUACUCCAAGCUGUUUUGCUUUUUUUUUUUUUUUUUAUUUAGCUCACCCCAAAACAUCAGAGCUUAUGGACAUUCCUACAGCUGAUAAAGCAAAGUAAAUGGCCUUUAUGUCUCAAGCUAAAAAGCAGUGUGGCAGAUUAAAUGGCAUGCCCUUCUUUGAAAAGUGACAAGAAAGAAAAACUCCACGAGUGCAAAGCCACUUGUUUUUCACUUUCAGGAUUCCAGUUGCUCAUCCAGUUGCUUCUGGGCUCGUUAAGGGACUGCAAAACACGCAGGUGAUUUUGGGGAACAUCUUAAUAUUGUGUACAUGGUGCAGAACAUAGCAUAAUGUACAGAAAGCCCUCAGAGGGAAAUAUAAACCUCCAUUGGCAGACUCCAGUUCUUCAGGAAAACAAUGUGUAGUAGAACUGGUGAGCUUCCUGGUAACUAUUUUCUGCAGCUCUGGGCAUGUUUGCUUCCUAAGACUCUGCAGGAGAGAGCGGAGGAGGCUAUGAGAUCCAAAGCUCAUGGUGGCUCAAGGUGUUCAACUGGAUCCAUAACAAGAAGAACACAUCAGUUACACAACACCCUACUUAUGGAAAAGACUCAAAAAUACCAACAAAAAGAGGGCUGGGGCAACAUCAUGAAAUUCAAGUCUUUAACGAGCCACCAUUCAAGAUAUUUAGAAGUGUUCUUCC
RNAcentral lists this long non-coding RNA (1133 nucleotides) under Anas platyrhynchos platyrhynchos (common mallard). RNAcentral's name for it is "lncRNA (ENSAPLG00000028053.1)". The record is from RNAcentral. Lineage: Eukaryota; Metazoa; Chordata; Aves; Anseriformes; Anatidae.